RNAcentral lists this ribosomal RNA (440 nucleotides) under uncultured bacterium. RNAcentral's name for it is "partial 16S ribosomal RNA". It matches the Rfam family "Bacterial small subunit ribosomal RNA", at positions 338 to 795 of the family's 1533-position model. The record is from RNAcentral.
CCUACGGGAGGCAGCAGUGGGGGAUAUUGCACAAUGGGGGGAACCCUGAUGCAGCGACGCCGCGUGGGUGAAGAAGCGCCUCGGCGCGUAAAGCCCUGUCAGCAGGGAAGAAAAUGACGGUACCUGAAGAAGAAGCCCCGGCUAACUACGUGCCAGCAGCCGCGGUAAUACGUAGGGGGCCAGCGUUAUCCGGAUUUACUGGGUGUAACGGGGGCGCAGACGGCGAUGCAAGCCAGGAGUGAAAGGCCGGGGCCCAACCCCGGGACUGCUGUUGGAACUGCGUGGCUGGAGUGCAGGAGGGGCAGGCGGAAUUCGUGGUGUAGCGGUGAAAUGCGUAGAUAUCAGGAGGAACACCGGUGGCGAAGGCGGCCUGCUGGACUGGAACUGACGUUGAGGCCCGAAAGCGUGGGGAGCAAACAGGAUUAGAUACCCCUGUAGUC